RNAcentral lists this ribosomal RNA (243 nucleotides) under uncultured Actinomycetales bacterium. RNAcentral's name for it is "partial 16S ribosomal RNA". It matches the Rfam family "Bacterial small subunit ribosomal RNA", at positions 89 to 334 of the family's 1533-position model. Lineage: Bacteria; Bacillati; Actinomycetota; Actinomycetes; Actinomycetales. The record is from RNAcentral.
ACUCGAGUGGCGAACGGGUGAGUAACACGUGAGUAACCUGCCCUCCACUUUGGGAUAACUCCGAGAAAUCGGGGCUAAUACUGGAUAUGACCUUGGCCCGCAUGGGUUGUGGUGGAAAGUUUUUCGGUGGGGGAUGGGCUCGCGGCCUAUCAGCUUGUUGGUGGGGUAAUGGCCUACCAAGGCGACGACGGGUAGCCGGCCUGAGAGGGUGGACGGCCACAUUGGGACUGAGACACGGCCCAG